Molecule: ribosomal RNA, 490 nt
Filed under: uncultured bacterium
Lineage: Bacteria
Description: partial 16S ribosomal RNA
Rfam family: Bacterial small subunit ribosomal RNA
Source: RNAcentral
AUUGAACGCUGGCGGCAGGCCUAACACAUGCAAGUCGAACGGUAACAGGAAACAGCUUGCUGUUUCGCUGACGAGUGGCGGACGGGUGAGUAAUGUCUGGGAAACUGCCUGAUGGAGGGGGAUAACUACUGGAAACGGUAGCUAAUACCGCAUAACGUCGCAAGACCAAAGAGGGGGACCUUCGGGCCUCUUGCCAUCGGAUGUGCCCAGAUGGGAUUAGCUAGUAGGUGGGGUAACGGCUCACCUAGGCGACGAUCCCUAGCUGGUCUGAGAGGAUGACCAGCCACACUGUAACUGAGACACGGUCCAGACUCCUACGGGAGGCAGCAGUGGGGAAUAUUGCGCAAUGGGCGCAAGCCUGAUGCAGCCAUGCCGCGUGUAUGAAGAAGGACUUCGGGUUGUAAAGUACUUUCAGCGGGGAGGAAGGGAGUAAAGUUAAUACCUGUACUCAUUGACGUUACCCGCAGAAGAAGCACCGGCUAACUCCGUG